GACGAACGCUGGCGGCGUGCUUAACACAUGCAAGUCGAACGGAAAGGCCCUUCCUUUGUGGGGUGCUCGAGUGGCGAACGGGUGAGUAACACGUGAGUAACCUGCCCUUUACUUUGGGAUAACUUCAGGAAACUGCGGCUAAUACCGGAUAUGAGCUCCUGCUGCAUGGUUGGGGUUGGAAAGUUUCGGCGGUUGGGGAUGGUCUCGCGGCUUGUGAGCUUGUUGGUGGGGUAGUGGCUGACUAAGGCUUUGACGGGUAGCCGGCCUGAGAGGGUGACCGGUGACAUUGGGACUGGGAUACGGCGCGGAGUAGUAGGGGAGGAAACAGUGGGGUAGAUGGCAGAAUGGGGGGGAGACGGAGGGAGGAACGCGGAGUGCGGGAGGAUGGGCUUCGGGUUGUAAAGCGAUUAAGGCAGAGAUGUAGCGGGAGUGACGGUAAUGGGUAAAGAAGCACCGGCUAACUACGUG
Molecule: ribosomal RNA, 468 nt
Filed under: uncultured bacterium
Lineage: Bacteria
Description: partial 16S ribosomal RNA
Rfam family: Bacterial small subunit ribosomal RNA
Source: RNAcentral